CACAAAGAAGGACAGACAGGCUUACACGCAAACGCACACACAUACACACACAGACACGGACAAAGACACAGACACGGACACUACUUCGAUUUCCAGUAGGCAUUCCAUCCAUCUUUUUUCUUUUUCUUUUUCUUUUUCUUUUCCCCACUGC
Molecule: non-coding RNA, 151 nt
Filed under: uncultured Geminigera
Lineage: Eukaryota; Cryptophyceae; Pyrenomonadales; Geminigeraceae
Source: RNAcentral